AAUUGCUUCUAGCUCUGCUAGAGUGGUGUCUAUGUAAAUAAGCAGACUGAGACCUACUUCUGAUGAAUGUAGGAAAGGAAAUGCUUUCUUCUCAAUGCUAAAGUGAGCUGGAGACUUUCAUCUUUAGGGAUCAGCAUGACACUGAAGACAUUGAAGAAUAUGUUCAGGCUAUGGAUGUUCAGCAUUUGAUACAGUUACAAGUAUUUGGUUGAGAGGAGUCUGCACCUUCAGGUGGUCCCAGCUGUAGGGUUAAGUGAACUGAAUGAAAAACUGAUGAAACAAACUGACUGCUCUAUCAUUUCUCCUCCUGAUGUAGAGAUUUCAAAAGAAGAGAGGGC
RNAcentral lists this long non-coding RNA (338 nucleotides) under Gallus gallus (chicken). Lineage: Eukaryota; Metazoa; Chordata; Aves; Galliformes; Phasianidae. The record is from RNAcentral.